UUUUUAGGAGAUGUUAAGUAGAUGAAAGACCAAGAAAAGCGAGGGAGAAAAUUCAAUAUAUUUGAGAACAAAGGCAGCCAUUAACCUGUCCAUCUUCAGAACCUGAAUCGGUAGCCAAAUCUCAGCAGACAGAGCUACGUAAUGCCAGAUAAAUCUUCUUGCUGAAUGAGAGACCCAUCCUACCAGCAUAAACAACAUUUGAACACUCUAGCCCCCAGCCUUACCAGCCAGCUCUCCAUUCUCUACACACAGAGUCUUUGUUGGGACACUCCAGGCCAGUUAUUUCACCAUCCUGAGUCUGGUCCCUCUCUGAGGCCCAGGGACAUAUAUUCAGUUCAGGUUUGAAUUAAGGAAAGAUACUACUACCUUGAUGGGGGAUCAGGACCACAGGACCAAAUUGAACCAGGCAAGACUGAAGGGGCCAAGGGAUAGAGGAUCCCCCUCCCGAAGGAGCCAACUGGAAGGCAACAAUUGGAUGGCCUGUUAAAGAAGAAAGAAGCUUAGGACAGGGAGAAUGCCACUUUCCAGUAUUACAAAAAUAUCCUUUAGGCAAGGAAAACUCAAGAUGCCAGAGAUCCCUGACACCUGGCUCAUAUGGUAGGCUGCGUGAUGAUGGAGCCGAGAGCUGAACCGCCCAAGGACAGAGGGCCUCAGCAGGAACUUUGGGAAUCAGCAUAUUGAUACCUAAGUGGAGACCUCUUUCCAGACCCAGAAACUGGAGCAUGCAAGGCCUUGGGGAAAUGACCAGCAAGUUCAUAGCCCAAGGUUUCUCUGACUGGUUGGAGAGUCUAAUGUAUUCCGUCAUGCCGUCUAAUUCAGAGUCUCCUUGCUUUGACUGUCUGUCUCCUGCUUCUGUUGGCUCUUGCUCAAGAUGUGAAAAGUCAUUGGAGAUGCUUA
This 897-nucleotide long non-coding RNA is filed under the name Homo sapiens (human). RNAcentral describes it as "non-protein coding lnc-TRIM32-1:2". The record is from RNAcentral. Lineage: Eukaryota; Metazoa; Chordata; Mammalia; Primates; Hominidae.